Long non-coding RNA from Lolium perenne, 718 nucleotides. RefSeq lists it as uncharacterized. Lineage: Eukaryota; Viridiplantae; Streptophyta; Magnoliopsida; Poales; Poaceae. The record is from RefSeq and is a predicted model, not a curated record.
CCCCCCUUCCUUACCUCGUGCCCGGACCGCAUCUCUCUUUCCCCUCUCGCACGUCUCCCUUUUUCCUCUCUUCUUCCCCUGCAAGAAAACGAACGAGAGGAGAAACCCUCUGUACCGCGCCCCCCGCCAUCGUUUGGCCACCUCUGGCCGCCCCUCACCUCACCGACGCCGCUUCGAGCUCCGCCUCCCUCUCCUCGGUCUUCUGGUGGCUUCAAUUCGAGCAGAGGGCCCCUACAACGUCGCCACGGAUCUCCUUCCCGAACUCCGGCCGCCGUCGUUUUCUUCAAAUUCCGGCCACCGUCGACCUCCUCCGGCACCGGCGAGCAGACGUUGAGCUUCGGGUUUCCUCGACGCCGGCGGCCUUCCGACGACCUCCUCCUGGCGGCGCCUCUCCCUCUCGCUCCGCGCCGAUGAGGCGCACUCUAGGCGCCCUCGCGCGCAUCCUGGGAUACCCCCUACCGCCCGCGCGCGACGACGGCCCGCCACGGUGACCACCGCCCUGCCGCGACGCGUGCGGCAUCGAACCCCUGCCGAACACCUUCCGCGCGCGCCUCGCAAGGUCUGCCAGCGUGGCCUCCACGUCAGCGCUGGGCCCGCUCGUCAGCCUCACGGGUUAGCACCCCGCUCGCAUUUGCUUCUUCCCGGAUAGGAUCACGAAGUGUUGAUGUGAGAUACGAUGAGUUCUUCGACAAGUUCUUCUGCAGCUUUUCUCAGGCGA